UACGGGGGGAGCAAGCGUUGUUCGGAUUUACUGGGCGUAAAGAGCUCGUAGGCGGUCUGUCGCGUCGGCUGUGAAAACUCGGGGCUCAACCCCGAGCCUGCAGUCGAUACGGGCAGACUAGAGUGCUGUAGGGGAGACUGGAAUUCCUGGUGUAGCGGUGAAAUGCGCAGAUAUCAGGAGGAACACCGGUGGCGAAGGCGGGUCUCUGGGCAGUAACUGACGCUGAGGAGCGAAAGCGUGGGGAGCGAACAGG
Molecule: ribosomal RNA, 253 nt
Filed under: uncultured bacterium
Lineage: Bacteria
Description: partial 16S ribosomal RNA
Rfam family: Bacterial small subunit ribosomal RNA
Source: RNAcentral